This is a small nuclear RNA of Homalodisca vitripennis (glassy-winged sharpshooter), 123 nucleotides long. RefSeq annotates it as U5 spliceosomal RNA. NCBI's taxonomy places the organism in Eukaryota, Metazoa, Arthropoda, Insecta, Hemiptera, Cicadellidae. The record is from RefSeq and is a predicted model, not a curated record. The transcript has a single exon.
UUACUCUAGUUUCCCUUCAGAGCGAAUAAAUCUUUCGCCUUUUUAAAUAUUUCCGUGGAGGGGAACACAUGAUGUAUCUGUAACCAAAUAAAAAGUAUUAUAGGGAGCAGUUUUAAAGCUGAA